Molecule: long non-coding RNA, 544 nt
Organism: Myotis brandtii (Brandt's bat)
Lineage: Eukaryota; Metazoa; Chordata; Mammalia; Chiroptera; Vespertilionidae
Exons: 3
Source: RefSeq, a predicted model, not a curated record
GCCUGGCGCCCGAGCUGGUUUCAGCUGGGAAGAUCAAAGAUUGAAGGGGAAGCAGGUCACGGGGCGUAGCUACUUCACACGCCGGCUGCUAAGACUGCUAGGGGAGUUUCUACUAAACCGGCGAUCGAGCGUAUUAAUCCGAAUGGGGUGAAAGGAAAGAAGAAAGAACACCCAGGUACAACGUGAGCAGGGCUUGAUCUGUCUACUCUUUGCUGCCGUGACCAUCUAAUGGAGUCAUAGUUCCCAGGAAACGUCUUCAUGGGGUGCUGGACUGUGGCAUCUGGCACCGACUGAUGUCUCCAUGGAAGGAGCUUCCGCAUCAGGGCCUUCAAGGACGUCAACCCCAGGUGGUAUCUUGUUGAAGACACCACCUUUUGACCUGUCGCAGGAGCUCUGAAAAGCAUCUGACCAUCCCUGCCGCAUCUUCUCUGUGCCUUCAGCCUCCAGGCGAGGACAGAGCUUGGAUCUUGUGGCCACAGUCACCACCGGCUUUUUGAGGUCUGCCACGUCCUGUCUGACAAAUACCAUCCCAUUUACCUGUGGA